CGUGCUGGGCGCUCUCUCCCCGCGCGGGGGCACCAGAGCCCUCAGAAGUGUCAGGCACUGCGGUGCAUUUUCCCAGUUCUCUUUUAAAUGACUGCGGAAAAACAGACUCCGAGCCGCAAAAGGGAAGACGGAUUCUCAGACAAGGCUUGUGAAUGCCCCGCAGCCAUCAUUUAACUGCGCCCGCAGAACAGUUACGGUUUGUCACCCGACCCUCCCGGACCGCCUAAUUUGUCCCUAGUGAGACCCCGAGGCUCUGCCCGCACCUGGCUUCUUCGUAGCUGGAUGCAUAUCGUGCUCCGGGCAGCGGGGGCGCAGGGCACGCGUUCGCGCACACCCGCACACACAUGAACACGCGCAAGGUACGGCAGGGGAGCAAGGGCUUGGGAUGCCCUGCGUGGGGGUGGGCAUCGCGGGGAGUGAAGCUAGGAUCUGGGAAUGGCUGCAUCCCCUCAGGUUAAAGGAUGAGAGAAAAUGACGCGGCGACACACAUCGGACAGGCCAGGGUGGCCACCGAGCAUUUAGAAUACGCGUCAGGCGCGCUCCCUUCCCCUCACAUGUCUCUAUUUCCCGGGCGUGUGACCGCAGAAAACGGCAGGAAAAAGACCCACUUAGAGAGCUAGAAUUGUAUUUCGAGACUCCCUUCCCUCAGCAAAAGCACCAACAGGAAGCCCCUCCAAAACCACCGAUCCCCAAAUAGGUGGCCCGGAAUGGGGGCGGUGAUCCUUGGUUACCAAUGCAGAACACGUUUUGGUGUUUACAACAUUUAUUUAUUUUUAGGAUAGCUCGCCCUCCCUUUUAGGCAGGGUGGGGAAGGAGAACGCGGGGAGGGAGAGGGGAGGGAGGAUUCCUAUAAUGAGAAUCAGCGCAUUUUUCAGAGCUGAACCAAGCCGGGUUUCCAUUUCAAAAAGGGAGACAGCCGCUACCGCGAUUGUAGAAGAGACUGUGGUGUGAAUUAGGGACCGGGAGGCGUCGAGCGGAGGAACGGUUCAUCUUAGAGACUAAUUUUCUGGAGUUUCUGCCCCUGCUCUGCGUCAGCCCUCACGUCACUUCGCCAGCAGUAGCAGAGGCGGCGGCGGCGGCUCCCGGAAUUGGGUUGGAGCAGGAGCGUCUCUCGCUGCUUCGCUCGCGCUCUACGCGCUCAGUCCCCGGCGGCAGCAGGAGCCUGGAGCCAGGCGCCGCCGGCGGGCGUGAGGCGCCGGAGUCUGGCCUCGAGGUGCAUACCGGACCCCCAUUCGCGUCUAACAAGAAGCCUGCGCCCCUGAGAGUCCCGGGAG
Molecule: long non-coding RNA, 1274 nt
Filed under: Aotus nancymaae (Ma's night monkey)
Lineage: Eukaryota; Metazoa; Chordata; Mammalia; Primates; Aotidae
Description: lncRNA (ENSANAG00000038821.1)
Source: RNAcentral